RNAcentral lists this ribosomal RNA (656 nucleotides) under uncultured Methanosaeta sp. Its description in RNAcentral is "bacterial SSU rRNA". It matches the Rfam family "Archaeal small subunit ribosomal RNA", at positions 223 to 879 of the family's 1478-position model. Lineage: Archaea; Methanobacteriati; Methanobacteriota; Methanomicrobia; Methanotrichales; Methanotrichaceae. The record is from RNAcentral.
UAUCAGGUAGUAGUGGGUGUAGCGUACCUACUAGCCUACGACGGGUACGGGUUGUGAGAGCAAGAGCCCGGAGAUGGAUUCUGAGACACGAAUCCAGGCCCUACGGGGUGCAGCAGGCGCGAAAACUUUACAAUGCUGGAAACAGCGAUAAGGGGACCUCGAGUGCCAGGUUACAAAUCUGGCUGUCGUGAUGCCUAAAAAGCAUUGCAUAGCAAGGGCCGGGCAAGACCGGUGCCAGCCGCCGCGGUAACACCGGCGGCUCGAGUGGUAACCGUUAUUAUUGGGUCUAAAGGGUCUGUAGCCGGCCGGAUAAGUCUCUUGGGAAAUCUGGCAGCUUAACUGUCAGGCUUUCAGGAGAUACUGUCUGGCUCGAGGCCGGGAGAGGUGAGAGGUACUUCAGGGGUAGGGGUGAAAUCUUGUAAUCCUUGAAGGACCACCAGUGGCGAAGGCGUCUCACCAGAACGGACCUGACGGCAAGGGACGAAAGCUAGGGGCACGAACCGGAUUAGAUACCCGGGUAGUCCUAGCCGUAAACGAUACUCGCUAGGUGUCGGCAACGGUGCGACCGUUGUCGGUGCCGUAGGGAAGCCGUGAAGCGAGCCACCUGGGAAGUACGGCCGCAAGGCUGAAACCUAAAGGAAUUGGCGGGGGAGCAC